Molecule: ribosomal RNA, 279 nt
Filed under: uncultured bacterium
Lineage: Bacteria
Description: partial 16S ribosomal RNA
Rfam family: Bacterial small subunit ribosomal RNA
Source: RNAcentral
UGCCAGCAGCCGCGGUAAUACAGAGAUGGCAACCGUUGUUCGGAAUCACUGGGCUUAAAGGGCACGUAGGCGGAAUAUUAAGUUGAAUGUGAAAGCCCAUGGCUUACCCAUGGAAGGUCAUUCAAAACUGAUAAUCUAGAGUACGGUAGGGGAGAGUGGAACUCCUGGUGGAGCGGUGAAAUGCGUUGAUAUCAGGAGGAACGCCGGAGGCGAAAGCGACUCUCUGGAACGAUACUGACGCUGAGGUGCGAAAGCUAGGGUAGCGAACGGGAUUAGAUA